GUGGGUCGUCAGCGAAAUGGGACACACCUGGGCUCGGGUGUGUCCCAGGAUAAAUACAUUUGUGUUCAUUUGUUUUCGACCUCUCAACACCCCUCAUUAUCAACAUCUAUGCAUGCCUCCACUCACUUACACCAUUGUUACUUGGAUAUAGUUUCCUUUAUCUCCGCGUUGUCUCCCUCUUUGUUACGGGCUAUGAGCCGGUUCGUAACAGUAUGAUAUAGCACUUUCUAGCUCUAAGUUUCUGCUUUUAUCCAAAAACAGAAUUUCAAAUUUUGCUACAUAGGACCGAAUCCAGGUGGUGGGUCACAAUUGUGUCAAACCACCCAAUUAUCGAGAAGAAACAGCAUCAUUCAUCAGCAGAUUACAAGAAAAAGAAUGCCUGGACUACCAUUUGUAAUGAAUUAAACUCAAAUGAAAAAGAAAAAGAAAACAAAAGGAUGCUUCAGAUCCUGUGGAAAAACAUAAAAAUCUACUUAAAGAAGACAAAUGCUGUUGCUCGUACGGAGCGUUUCAAGACUGGCGGCGGACCCCCAUUAAGACUGGAGACAGAUGAGCUGGGGGACUUGUUGACCGUGAUCAUUGAUAGCCAGCAACCCUGGGAAGGAAUUUGGACAGGUCAGAUUGGGGACCGUUCCAAUCCUAAUUUGAUUGGCGACGAGGUACCAGAGUUUUUGUCCGAAGGGGAACAGAGCGAGCAAGAAAGUGCUAGCUCCAUCGAGACAGUCUGUGUGUAAAGCUAGCACCGAAGAUGGCAUUCUGCAAGGCCGAGGAAAGUGUCACCCGUUGUAACGAGUGUCGUGUGUGGAGGACCAAGACGCAACAGGGA
RNAcentral lists this long non-coding RNA (826 nucleotides) under Salmo salar (Atlantic salmon). RNAcentral's name for it is "lncRNA (ENSSSAG00000075507.2)". The record is from RNAcentral. Lineage: Eukaryota; Metazoa; Chordata; Actinopteri; Salmoniformes; Salmonidae.